RNAcentral lists this ribosomal RNA (253 nucleotides) under uncultured bacterium. RNAcentral describes it as "partial 16S ribosomal RNA". It matches the Rfam family "Bacterial small subunit ribosomal RNA", at positions 524 to 776 of the family's 1533-position model. The record is from RNAcentral.
UACGGGGGGAGCAAGCGUUGUUCGGAUUUACUGGGCGUAAAGGGCGCGUAGGCGGUAGCACAAGUCAGUUGUGAAAUCUCCAGGCUUAACUCGGAAAGGUCAACUGAUACUGUGCGACUAGAGUGCAGAAGGGGCAACUGGAAUUCUCGGUGUAGCGGUGAAAUGCGUAGAUAUCGAGAGGAACACCUGCGGCGAAGGCGGGUUGCUGGGCUGACACUGACGCUGAGGCGCGAAAGCCAGGGGAGCGAACGGG